RNAcentral lists this ribosomal RNA (463 nucleotides) under uncultured bacterium. RNAcentral's name for it is "bacterial SSU rRNA". It matches the Rfam family "Bacterial small subunit ribosomal RNA", at positions 84 to 526 of the family's 1533-position model. The record is from RNAcentral.
CCCCCGGUAGGGUGGCAAACGGGUGAGUAAUACAUGGGUGAUCGACCUUAGGGAUGGGGAUAUCCUUCCGAAAGAGGGGCAAUACCGAAUAUUGUCCGGAGCCGUGAAGGGUUCCGGGGAAAGGGAGGCCUCUGAUACAAGCUUUCGCCUUAAGAUGAGCCCAUGGCCCAUCAGCUAGUUGGUAGGGUAAAGGCCUACCAAGGCUACGACGGGUCGCUGGUCUGAGAGGACGACCAGCCACACUGGCACUGAGAUACGGGCCAGACUCCUACGGGAGGCAGCAGUGAGGAAUAUUGCGCAAUGGGGGAAACCCUGACGCAGCAACGCCGCGUGUGGGAAGAAGGCCUUCGGGUCGUAAACCACUUUUGCACGGGACGAAAAAGGGAUAUCGAACAAAUAUCCCCGAUGACGGUACCGUGAGAAUAAGCCACGGCUAACUCUGUGCCAGCAGCCGCGGUAAGAC